GGUUCCGUGGUGUAGUGGUUAUCACGUCUGCUUUCCAUGUAGAAGGCCCUGGGUUUGGGUCCCAGUGGAACCA
This is a non-coding RNA of Rhincodon typus (whale shark), 73 nucleotides long. The record is from the annotation of a RefSeq genome assembly. Lineage: Eukaryota; Metazoa; Chordata; Chondrichthyes; Orectolobiformes; Rhincodontidae.